AUGUCAAAGCCUCAACAACCAUCAAUCAUCUCAGACGAGAAAAAAAAAUCCUCAAGAACCAUGGCGGAGGCUGUUGUCGCGCAGCUGGUGGUGACGCUCGGCGGGGCGCUGGCGAAAGAGGCGGCGACCUACGGCGCGGCGCUGUUGUGCAAGGAAGCUGCGGCCCUGAGGGGUCUCUUCAGCAAGAUCCGCCAGUCCAAGGUGGAGCUGGAGAGCAUGCAAGCGUACCUACAGGAGGCAGAGCGGUUCAAGGAUAUCGACAAGACCACCGCCAUCUUUGUCGGUGAGAUCAGGGGCUUGGCCUUCCGGAUCGAGGACGUCGUCGACGAGUUCACCUACAAGUUGGAGGACUGCAAGCACGGAGGGUUUGCCGGCAAGAUGAAGAAGCGGCUCAAGCAUAUCAAGACCUGGCGGCACCUGGCAGCCAAGCUCCAAGAAAUCGAAGGCCAGCUGCAGGAUGCCAACAGGAGGAAGAGAGAUUAUGCCGUCACCGGCAUAUCUGCAUCUUUUGCCAGAUCGACGAAUCUAGGUCAAGCUCUGCACUUCACCAGGGAUGAGGACCUUGUGGGGAUCGAAGAGCACAAGGAGAGGUUGAUACGGUGGCUGACCGGCGGUGGUGAUGCACAGGAGCAGAGCUUCAGCAAAGUCACCCUGGUGUGGGGGAUGCCUGGUAUUGGUAAAACCACUCUGGUUGAUCAUGUGUACAACACUGUGAAAGUGGAUUUCGACGCUGCGGCAUGGGUAACUGUGUCAGAAAGUUACAGUUUUGAGGAUCUGCUGAAGAAGAUUGCAGGCCAAUUCGGCAUCGUAGUCGACGUCGCCAACAUUGAGAUGCGAGUCCUAGCAAAGUCCAUUCACAACUACCUUCAAGGUAAAAGGUACAUCUUGGUCUUGGAUGAUGUUUGGGCUGAGCGCUUGUGGUCGGAGAUAAGAAAUGUCUUCCCAACAUCUAACUGUACCGGCCGAUUUGUCAUCACAUCAAGAAAGCAGGCAGUGUUGACAACUAGGGAAUUUUCAUAUGCAAUUCACUUGGAACCAUUACAAGAGCAUCACUCAUGGCUGCUAUUUUGCAAAGGAGCCUUUGGGGAUGCCGAUGACAAAGAGUGCCCGUUGGACCUACAGGAAUUGGCUCGGAAGUUCAUAGCAAAGUGUCAAGGCUUGCCUAUUGCUAUUACAUGCAUUGGCCGCCUACUCUCCCGCAAACUCCCAACUUCCGCUGAAUGGGAGGAUGUGUACACAGGUUUGGAUUCACAGUUGGCGAAAGAUGUGAUCCCUGAUGCUCAUUUGAUCCUAAAGGUCAGCUUGGAGGACCUUCCGUAUGAUUUGAAGAAUUGUUUCCUACACUGUGCAUUGUCCCCAGAAGAUUAUAUAUUAAAGAGGAGGAAGACAAUGAGGCAGUGGAUCACGGCAUGGUUUAUCACGGGAAAAGAAGAGAGCAAAACAUUGGAGGAAGUGGCAGAGGGAUACUUGGCUGAGCUUGUGAACCGAAGCCUACUGCAGGUAGUGCAAAGGAAUUUUGCCGGACGACUGAAACAAUGUCGGAUGCAUGAUGUCAUUCGCCUUCUUGCACUCAACAAAGCCAAAGAGGAAUGCUUUGGUACAGUUUAUAACGGCUCUAGUGGUGGUACUGAGGCGUUCUGUUUAGUGGGUGCACGUCGCAUAUCAAUCCUAGGGGGAAACAUUGAACAACUGAGCCUAUCUGGUGCAACACAGCUUCGCGCGCUCCAUGUAUUUGAGAAUUAUAUCAAUGUUGACUUUCUGAAGCCUAUCCUAACAACUUCAAAUUUGCUGUGUAUAUUGGAACUGCAAGGUACUGGUAUCAAAAUGCUGCCAAAUGAGGUAUUCGACUUGUUUAAUCUGCGUUAUUUGGGUCUUAGAGAUACCGAGAUCGAAAGCCUGCCUGAAGCAUUGGGGAGGUUACAAAACUUGGAAAUCUUGGAUGCUUAUGAUUCUAACUUGACGUACUUGCCAAAGAGUGUUGUAAAGCUUCAGAAGUUAAGAUACCUGUAUGCAUGUACUUUGGACGCAUUUGGAGUAGCUCGGGUCAAGGUGCCUAGUGGCAUGCAGCACUUGGCAGGACUGCGGCCUCUUCACUCCAUCAAAGCCACUCCAGAGUUUCUCCGUGAAGUUGCUGCUCUGACGGAGCUAAGAACAUUCGGUGUCUGCAACGUGAGAAGUGAACAUUCUGCUGAUUUAACCAAUGCUAUCACCAGAAUGAGUCAUCUUGUUCAUCUCGAAAUUGUUGCUGCAGCUGAGAAUGAGGUGCUGCAGCUGGAAGGGCUAUAUUUACCUCCAACCAUUUUCUGGGCUUGCUUUAGUAGGGAAGUUAGGAAAAACAAUGAUGCCUCAACUUUUCUCUUCUUGGUCACACCUUAA
This 2376-nucleotide ribosomal RNA is filed under the name Triticum aestivum (bread wheat). RNAcentral's name for it is "partial small subunit ribosomal RNA". The record is from RNAcentral. Lineage: Eukaryota; Viridiplantae; Streptophyta; Magnoliopsida; Poales; Poaceae.